AUGAACGCUGGCGGCGUGCCUCAUACAUGCAAGUCGAGCGAACGGACGAGAAGCUUGCUUCUCUGAUGUUAGCGGCGGACGGGUGAGUAACACGUGGAUAACCUACCUAUAAGACUGGGAUAACUUCGGGAAACCGGAGCUAAUACCGGAUAAUAUUUUGAACCGCAUGGUUCAAAAGUGAAAGACGGUCUUGCUGUCACUUAUAGAUGGAUCCGCGCUGCAUUAGCUAGUUGGUAAGGUAACGGCUUACCAAGGCAACGAUGCAUAGCCGACCUGAGAGGGUGAUCGGCCACACUGGAACUGAGACACGGUCCAGACUCCUACGGGAGGCAGCAGUAGGGAAUCUUCCGCAAUGGGCGAAAGCCUGACGGAGCAACGCCGCGUGAGUGAUGAAGGUCUUCGGAUCGUAAAACUCUGUUAUUAGGGAAGAACAUAUGUGUAAGUAACUGUGCACAUCUUGACGGUACCUAAUCAGAAAGCCAUGGCUAACUACGUG
This 496-nucleotide ribosomal RNA is filed under the name uncultured bacterium. RNAcentral describes it as "partial 16S ribosomal RNA". It matches the Rfam family "Bacterial small subunit ribosomal RNA", at positions 29 to 507 of the family's 1533-position model. The record is from RNAcentral.